This 915-nucleotide ribosomal RNA is filed under the name uncultured archaeon. Its description in RNAcentral is "bacterial SSU rRNA". It matches the Rfam family "Archaeal small subunit ribosomal RNA", at positions 1 to 913 of the family's 1478-position model. The record is from RNAcentral.
UUCCGGUUGAUCCUGCCGGAGGUCACUGCUAUUGGGGUUCGGCUAAGCCAUGCGAGCGGAGGGCGCGGUCGCAAGAUCGUGGCCCCGCACACGGCUCAGUAACACGCAGUCAACCUACCCUUGGGACGGGGACAACGCCGGGAAACUGGCGAUAAUCCCCGAUAGGUGAGGGACGCUGGGAUGCUUCUUCGCUCAAAGCUCCGGCGCCCGAGGAUGGGACUGCGGCCUAUCAGGCUGUUGGUGGUGUGACGGACCACCAAACCUACGACGGGUACGGGCGAUGGGAGUCGGAGCCUGGAGAUGGGGACUGAGACAAGGCCCCAGGCCCUACGGGGCGCAGCAGGCGCGAAAACUCCGCAAUGCGCGCAAGCGUGACGGGGGAACCCCAAGUGCCGUUGGUCUUUUGAUCGACGGCUUUUCGGAAGUCCAAUAAGCUUCCGGAAUAAGGGCUGGGUAAGACUGGUGCCAGCCGCCGCGGUAACACCAGCAGCCCAAGUGGUGGCCGCGAUUAUUGGGCCUAAAGCGCUCGUAGCCGGAUCAGCAAGUCCUUUGUGAAAUCGGGCCGCCCAACGGUUCGGCGUGCAAAGGAUACUGUUGGUCUUGAGACCGGGAGAGGUCGGAGGUACUCUUGGGGUAGCGGUGAAAUGCUGUAAUCCUGGGGGGACCACCAGUGGCGAAGCGUCCGACCAGAACGGAUCUGACGGUGAGGGGCGAAGGCUAGGGGAGCGAACGGGAUUAGAUACCCCGGUAGUCCUAGCUGUAAAGCAUGCGGGCCAGGUGUCUAGCGCUCCUCGAGGGCGCUAUGUGCCGGAGGGAAGCCGUUAAGCCCGCCGCCUGGGAAGUACGGCCGCAAGGCUGAAACUAAAGAAAUUGGCGGGGGAGCACACAAGGGGUGGAACCUGCGGUCAUGGACUC